CGCCGCCACCUGUGGGCGGGGCCUCCCCGGGCACCGCCCCCCACCGCAGGCGGCCCUGCAGCGCUUGGCAGCCGUGGGGCGUGUCCUGCCUCCCCCGCCCCCGCCCUGUGGCGGCUGUGGAUCAGACCUGGGAGCACGCGGUGCAGGACGGGGCCACUGACCUAGGAGGGAAGGAUGCAUCAAAGAAGUGAACCAACGACUGUCGGCCGCUACCAAGAGGGCUUCAGUUUCUUUGACCAUAGUGCACAUUUCAGGGAGAGAGGACUCCUGGGAAGGGAUUGCUCCUCAUGCAGAGGAGUAAGUCCCUGUUCUCAGCCAGGAUGGCCGAUCUUUUAGAUAGGGCUUUAAACUAAGAUCGCUGGGGGACUGGGAAACACUGACUGGAGCAUGCCUGGAGGCCAGCACACAAGUUCUCUUCCUCCUGGUGUUGCCUUCCUGAGCACUGAAAUGUAAGACAGCAGCUAGCAUUACAGUACAGUGUACUUCAGACCCCCUCACUCCCAGAAGGCUUUGCAUCUGGGAACUUCUGCUUGAGGCUGGAUGCAGGAGGCUCAGAACAAACUGUACAUAGAACAGCUGGAGGCUCAGCAUGACUGCUUACUGGCUAUACUGCAGUCCCGAAUCCUCAUGGUGCUCAAUGCGGUAGGUAUGUCCCUUCAGAGUCAUGUCCCUGGCUAUCCUCGAUGUCAGAGUAUGUAGUAUGAAGAAGUGUUGGUGUGCUUACAUUGGCAGUAUGCUGCUUCUGUGCUGAGGGAAUUCUCCUUUGGUCCUACAUAGUUUUUUUGUUGUACACACAUGCUUCUUUGGCUGAGCACAGAGUCAGCCCAGAUGUGUUGCUGAGCACACAACUUAAAUUGGAAUUGGAAUUGCAGAAAUUCCCAUAUAGUAUGGUAAUCUAAAGUCCUCAAAUGGUUUUAUUGUUAAAAUGAACAAUUCUCUAUAUCAUUAAGCACAGUAUUCAAAAAAAUAAUGCUAAGCCACGUAACCCUUCUGGGGCUGAGUCACCUCAAGAGUCAGAUUUAGCUUUCUCUGAUGCAUUUGACUCCAGCUUUAGAGUUCAUAUCGCUUAUUGAUUUAAUUUUUCCUCUUCCAAUUAUUAAAUACUUCAGAAUUACCUUAACAAACAAGGCACCUUGUUGCCAGGCUUGUCUUUUCUGUUUGGAUUUGGUACCUAUUAAAGAGAGAUUGAGAGCUUUGUGAGGAAAGUGGGAGUGAAAAGGUCUUCAAAAUAGGAGGGAGAUUCCUUAACUUUCUGGUCCUAGGAGGCCUGCUUAGUCCUGCAGAGGAGAGCAUUUUGGAAUUUUUGAUUGGGGGUCUUUUACUUUGUUCAUCCCUAAGGAGCAAGGCACGUUGGAAGGUCUGGCUGUUCCUUCUCAGUGUAAUCUCCAAUGUCCAGCACAAAUUCAUUGGCUCAGUGCAGGAAUAACUGAGUGAAAUCUGUGUGCAGCUCUAGACCUUCCUUGCCUUGGAGGAAUAAAUGGCAUCUUCUGUCUCUAUCUGUUAAUUUCAGACCUUAUUCAAUCACAUUCUUUGAGAACAAUCUCCGUUUCACCAUCAACCCCAACUUUUAAAGUUAAUUGGGGCGUGUGAGGUAUAAAUAGACUUUGGACCAGAUGGAAACUCAGUUGUAAUUUAUAGCUCGCUGAGCCAUCACAUGUUCCAUUUGUACUCUGAACAAGGGCACCAUUAAUUAUUUCUCUGUCCAGGCAGUUAGGUUACAACAAUGAUAUCCAAGAAGAAGGCCUAAGUAUAGCCAGGUUGCAACAUUUUUGCUAAAUGAGCUAGACUGUGCAGACCCACCUGCUGUUUUAAGUCCACAGCAUAGCUUAACUUUUCUGCACUGGAUGUUUUAGUAUGGGCCUAAGUCUCUGGGUCACAUCUACCACUGGAACAAAAAUCAGAGUAGCUGUUCAGAAGGCAAGAGCACUGUGCUGAUUUGCAACCAUGGAGGAGCUGGUCCUCCGCUUUAAAAAACAAGUAACAGCAAUAAUGGAGGGAUUUGCCUCCAUAGUUGUAUUUUCUUACCACUUAUUGUCUUGUCCUUUGAGAACAACACAUGUAUAUAUGUCCCUUGGGUGUGAAAUGAAGCCUUCAGUGGGGGACACAAACAUGAAAGAUGUUUAUUUCCAUUAAGGAUCACUCAAAAGUGUCCUGCAUCACUCUGGAAUGAUCCCUGACUUUCUGCCUGUUUUCACUUUUGGGCUUCAGAAUAGAAACAGUCCUCAGACAGGGGGAAGGUCCUUAUCAUGAGACGUUUAAGCCAGAGAGGAAUAAGCAGAGGGGAGUCCUUCCCUAACGAGGCUUCUUCUCAAUUCAAACAAGUGUAGAAUACAAAGAGACAAAAGCAAAUGCAGACCCAAAGCAAACAGCUGCAUACGUACACACACACAUACAUAAAUACAUACAUAUAUGUGUAAUAUAUAUAUGUGUGUGUGUAUGUGUAAUAUGUGUGUGUGUGUUUAUGUAUGUAGUUCUCUAUGUAUCCAGGUAUUCGCUAUUAACCUCGUCAUAUGUAAUAUGCUGGCUGCACUCUUCUUUCCAAGUACACCAGCUGAGAAACACUGAGAAAGCUUUCCAGAGAGAGCAAUUUAUCUUUCUUACCUGGAGAAAACCCACAGAAGAGGCUUUGCACUGUUUAUCCUCUACAGAUCACAAAGCAAGCUGGAAAUACAGCUUUUCAUCAAUGACAAUGACAAACUUCCUGGGGUAUUUCGAUACCAUCAUCCUCUUUCUGUUUGUAAGAGGGAGCCAGGGGCUUCUGUUACUUUAAAGGAGAGACUGCAGCAGAAAGAGCCCCAGCCAGCUGAACAGAGGUUAGCUGCAGGAGGGAAGACAACAAGGCAACAACAGCCCUGUAGGCAGUAAGUUUCCCAUCAAGAUGAGGGGAUGCACCUGCAGCUGGUCAGUCAACAUCUGACCAGAAGGGGAGGAGCACAGGGGUUAUAAACCUGGGCUCCUGAGAUAGAGUGGUAGUUUAGCCCUGAAGUCUGCAGAGAAAGGAGCUCCUGCCAGGUCAGGUUGAAGGAUUGUGACAUCUCCAUACAAAGAAUCAUGCAAAGCCAAAGGGCUGAACCUGUACCAUUCACGUGCUACAGGUAUAUAUUCACUGAAGCAGCCGAAUGCUAUUAUUACUCAACAACCUUUACUGAAAUGGAGUAAGGCACAUUCUUGGGCCCUGAAACUCCUAGCUGACAUUAGGAGAUGCACCAGAUCAGGGGCAGGCUGCCCUGGCUGACCAGAAUCAGCUGAAAUAAGAGGGAGUUCCAGGAAGACAGACAGGGAAGCAGGAAGGCAAGUAAUGGGGGAAGGAUGUGAAAGGGAAGGAGGAGGAAAUGAAUGCUCCUGUUUCAGUGACUUAAGGCUGCCUGUAACUGGAGUUGCUUGAUACCUUCACACCCCUGGACCUUCUUUCAGCUGUCUUUGCACCUCACAAUUGUGUGAUGGCUUCACAGAAGAGAAGACCUCCUGAUGUUUGGAGCUCCAGAAGGACAUUUCUUCCCUACUGCCACCCUCAUUUUACUGUGUUCUUUUAAAACAACUUAAGCAAACCAGGAGCUUUUGAUUUGCUCUGGAAAUUCUGGUUUAUAAAAGUCCAAUGGAUUCUGUAUGAAGCCAUUAAAGAACAACCUACCUGUGAGUGAUCUAAAUUACCGUGAGGCUACAGUUGAAAUCGGAGCACCAUGUUCAUCACCAAUUCACUAGACUGACCGCAAUAAAAGUAAACCCUUGCCCAAAGAGCUGACAAUCUCCAUGGACAAGAUGAACGUUGAGCAGGAGAAAGAGGAUAGGCAUGCAUCCUUUCAUGAAUGAGGAAAACAAGGCACAAGAAUCUUGAGACUUGCCCAAGGGAGCCAGGCAGAGCCCAGGACUGAACUCGCAUCUCCUGAGUACUAGUCAGGUGCUAUAACCACAUAGACCAACCUUUCUCUUGUAUAAGGCUUGGAAAAAAUUCACUACUAAGAGAUAUACUCUAUCCCCUGGGAGCUGCAUUGUUCCAGAAAGAGGUACCAGUAGAGACCAGAUGCUAUGUACUUACAAAUGCCCUUCCCCAACUUCAUGAAUCUAGGGAAAAGAGUUCCCAUCCAUUACAACACAGUCAUUUGAAGAAUGACUUUCAGUUACACUGAUCAUUUGGCACCUGCCACAGUAAUAAAAUGAGAACAUAAAUUGGAGUAAGGUGUUGCUUUCCUCAAUAAUAAAUAUAUUCUUUACAUUUA
Alligator mississippiensis (American alligator) is the source of this 4217-nucleotide long non-coding RNA. RefSeq lists it as uncharacterized. Lineage: Eukaryota; Metazoa; Chordata; Crocodylia; Alligatoridae. The transcript is spliced from 6 exons. The record is from RefSeq and is a predicted model, not a curated record.